GACGUAAUUGCAUUAGAUUGUUUAUGCCGAGAUGGAACUCAUAUGUGGCCUCCUUAUGCAAUGGUAUCAACCUCUUUGGGGCUCAACCUACAGAGAAGGGUAUGGAUGAAUUAAAUCAAAGUAUAACAGUGCACAAAGAUGACAGAGGAGAAAGUUUUGUUCACUUAACUUCAUUUUAUGGUAUAGAACUGAUCAAUCUGAGUUGAAGAAGUCUUCAAAUGACCUUAUUUCAUGGCAUUUGUGAGAGUUUUUGAGCGCUUUCAAUGAAAUUUGUCCAAACUCGGAUCCAUUUUGAUCUAUGUCUAUAUAUUGGAGGUGUUUGAACUAUCUUCUAUCCUCUUCUCACCGGUACCUUCAUCAAAGAGGCCGAUUUCUCCGACCAUGGAGCAACUAGGAGUCAACGAAGGUUCAUUUUAUUGGGAAUGGUCCAGAUCUUUGUGACCUUUCCUUUUUUGUUUUUUUUUUCUUUUGAUUUAUUGGUUUCCUAUUUCUUUUUUCAGGUUAGGCUACUUUUGGGAUUUUUCCUUGUAAAUAUUGAAUCUCUUUUGUUUCUAAUAAAAUUAUAUAUAAAAUAAUUCUAUAAAUAUAAUUUAAUUUUAAAUAAUUAAACAAACUUCAAUAAUUUAAUACUUUACUUAGCAAACUUACUUUGAAAUUUGAAUUUUGAACUUUCAAAUAUAUACAUUGAAAUCUUAAAUUUGAAAGUUGAAAUUUCAAGUUUCAAAUUUAGUUUGAACUUUUAAAUUUGAAAUUUGAAAUUUUCAAAACUUACGCAUUCUUACUUAGUCUCCGGUAAAUUAAAUUUGAGUGAGUGUGACCAUUUUUUCUUUAGGAAUAAGAUCGUUCCAAGAUUUUGAAAUCAUCUUUGUGAAUUCCCAAAGAUUCCUUGGAUAAAGAAAUUUGAGGACGACUUUUUUUCAGCAUAGAAAAUUUGUAGUCAUUCCAUCUUGGUUUUGAGAGAUUAAGGUCUCUCUCCUUCCUCCUUCUCCGCUUGCUUCUCUAUCUUGAAUAGUGGUGAGGUGGUGGAUUGUAAAGUAUAAUUGCAUUGCAAAAUGGGGCAUGUUCUUUUGGAUGGUAGAUUACUCCAUUAAGAACUUCAGAUCCCACUUUGACAGACCCCAAAUAACCAGAGACAAAUUUUCAACAAAAUGACAAUUUAUGACAAAUUUGACUCUAGUUGUUUGAGGUCUAUCAAAGUGGAAUCUGACGUUCUCAAUGGAGUAAUAUACCAUCCAAAAGAACAAACCCAUCUUGUAACGCAAUUGUACUUGACAAUCCACCACCUCACCACUAUUCAGGACAGAGGGGCAAGAGGAGGAGGAGGAAGGAGAGAGACCUUAAUCUCCCUAAACCUAGAUGGAAUGACUACAACUUCUUCUAUUCUGAAAAAGAGUCAUCCUCAAGUCUCUUUAUCCAAGGAAACGUUGGGAAUUCACAAAGAUGAUUGCAAAAUCUUGGAACGAUCUUCCCCGUGAAGAAAAGAUGGUAAACACACUCAAAUUCAAUUAUAGUUGAGUGACUACCUGAGAUAUUAUCUCUAAUAUCAUAUAACUGAGCCUUUGUUUAUGUUUUAGUCGUUACCAAUUUAUGACCAUUAUGUAGUCAUCAUACUACAGUAUAUUGUCAUUAUUCUUCCUCUUGAUUGUAUUCAGCAAAUGUUAGAGUAUUUUAUCUAUCCCAUUUGAUGAAUUCUCUCUCCUAUAAAUCAACACAAGUUCUUCUCUUUGGUAGAGAUCAAUUCAAAAUAUUCCUACCAUAUUAUAGUGUGUUGGGUUUUCUUUCUUGAUGGAUCUUUGUUAGUUUUUGUGCUCUCAGUCUUAUACUAGAAGAGCUUAUUAAAUUCUAGAGAUACACCUAUAUCAAAUGAAAUAUUCUUAAGGAUAGUGUCGUUGACACGCCUCAAUCUAUGAAAAAUUCUUACAAUUUUUAUAACCGAAUACUUAUCAUAAGAUUUCCGACACGAUGAGAAGAAAAGACGUUUUUUGGGAUACCUAAGAAGGGGGCAUCAAGGAGAGUGACAAUGUAUGUAUGUUCAACCAGUCUUGCCUCCGCUUCUCAUCGUAAAGAAUCAUUAACUAGUUGUGAUCAGAGGAUUAGGCAUGAUCAAGACAAAGGAGGCAAAUGGGCGGAUCAGGUCGGAUAUGGGUGGAUCAAAACGGAUUAAAUGAAAAUGGAUAAAACAUAUCGUAUAUGCUUAUAUUAUCCGUGGUUUCAAGAAUAUUCAAGUGAACACAAGCUAAAAACUAAAAUAAGCUUAGGGUCGCAACAAUAGCAUAUCCAAUAUGGUCCACAAGCUUGGACUCCUAAAAGACAAUAAGUCAUGAAGAAUGACAAGCCAAAAAAUGGGUAUUGAUAAUCUGGAUAUUCAUAUUAUCCAUUUUUUAGUAAAUAUUAUACAUAUUUGAUCUAUUUGCACGUAAUACAGGUAUUAAGUUUCUUCAUUCCAUUCCUACUAAUAAGCAACAGUCUUAAAGUCGACCUUUGGAAACUUGUGAAACUCACUUCCUUAUUGUUCUGUUAUGUCAUCUAUCAUUCGAUUCAUCGGAUCUAUCUGAUCAUGUCAUACUUUCAAGUUUUAUUUUUUGAAUGAACAAGAAAUUGAGUUUUCCAAUAUUACUUAUUAUUUACCUUCCAAAAGAAAAAUUCUUCCAAAAAUUCAAUCUUUAUAAUGAAUUCAGUUGGAAAAAAAAGAAGAAGGAGAAGAUCACCUUUAUAAUGUACUUAUGGACAUAUGAUUAUUAAGUGAUGGAAUACCUCUAAGCAUACGUUUAUAGAAGCUAAGUGUAUUUUUUUUUAUCUUCCUUCUUUAAACCAUCAAAUCUGUCAACACAUCAAGAUACUUAUGUUGUGCAAUAACCUAGCGACAUACGACAUUACAAAAUAUACACAUAAAGAAAAACAAAGAUACCAAAAUCUAUAAAUAAUGUCAUAUUUUUAGUGAAAUUCAAAAGUGUUACCAUUUGAUUAGCACGCUACUAAUUGCAAAUACAAUUCCCUUCUUCCUCUUACCAGAAAAUUCAUUGGAGAAAAUUGCACCUCAAAAGAAAGAGUUUUUGCCUAAUGUAAGGAAAAAUAAGUGAAUGAAUCUCUUACUCAUUAUGUUGUAGUUUGAAAGUGUAAUUAAGAAAGUGUACAACUGUAUUUAUGAUAGGAAAAGUUCCUUGAACAUAAACCAAGUCAUUAAAAUCAUGGCAUCUAUAUGGAUUAAUUGAUUUUAAAAUUUGAAAAAAUUUGAUAAUAUUUAUAAGUAUAUUAAAAUAAUAAUUUUCUUAUUGGAAGGAGGUCGAAAACUUCUAGUUUCACUCUAGUACCCCUGCUUCAGUUGAAAAACACAGACCCAUCGAUUAAAAAGAAACUAGAUUUGAAUCAAGAAAAUAAGGAAUUAGAGGAACACCAACAUAGAGCUAACCAACCGGCACCCUAACAACCAUCUAUAGACUCCUAGGGAUACACAACAAUCCCAUCCACCAAACUAAACAUCUAGACAGGAAAAAGGAAUGGACAGAUGGACCUUUUAAUCUAGGAUUACAAAUAUGAAAAUUAGUUAAUAAGAGAAGGAGAUAGAUCUUACUUCUACAAGCUGAGAAACAACAACGCACACCAAAGAGGGCCAUGAGUGUUGAUCAUCCAAAGAAGAACAUGAACCUGACUAGUAUUGUGAAACCUCAUUUCCAUCAACCUAUUCACUAGAGAGAGGAAGUUGAGAAGAGAAA
This 3713-nucleotide long non-coding RNA is filed under the name Solanum tuberosum (potato). RNAcentral's name for it is "long non-coding RNA (STUB_LNC011252)". The record is from RNAcentral. Lineage: Eukaryota; Viridiplantae; Streptophyta; Magnoliopsida; Solanales; Solanaceae.